Molecule: long non-coding RNA, 1420 nt
Filed under: Prunus persica (peach)
Lineage: Eukaryota; Viridiplantae; Streptophyta; Magnoliopsida; Rosales; Rosaceae
Description: long non-coding RNA (PPER_LNC007043)
Source: RNAcentral
UCCCACAAUAUUAUGAUGUUCCCCAAGUUUUGGACUCAAUCCGAUAUCGAUUGGUCCUUGAAAUCGGACAAUUCAGGUUCGUACGAAGUUCGUUCUGAAAUGGGGUGGUUCGUGUAUUGUAUCGUUCUAGGGAUUGGAUUUCACUCAAAACCCACGAAAUGACUCCUCCCACAAUAUUAUGUUGUUCCCCAAGUUUUGGACACAAUCCGAUAUCGAUUGGUCAACGAAAUCGGACAAUUCAAGUUCGUACGAAGUUCGUUCUGAAAGGGGUGGUUGGUUUACUGUAUAGUUCUAGGGAUUGGAUUUCACUCAAAACCCACCAAAUGACUCAUCCCACAAUAUUACGAUGUUCCCCAAGUUUUGGACACAAUCCGGUAUCGAUUGGUCCUUGGGAUCGGACAAUUCAGGUUCGUACGAAGUUGUUCUGAAAUGGGGUGGUUGGUGUAUUGUAUAGUUCUAGAGAUUGGAUUUCACUCAAAACCCACCAAAUGACUCCUUCACAAUAUUGUGGUGUUCCCCAAGUCUUGGACUCAAUCCGAGAUCGAUUGGUCCUUUUAAUCGGACAAUUCAGGUUCGUACGAAGGUCGUUCUGAAGUGGAAUGGCUGAAGUAUUGUAUAGUUCUAGAGAUUGGAUUUCACUCAAAACCCACCAAAUGACUCCUCCCAAAAUAUUAUUAUGCUCCCCAAGUUUUGGACUCAAUCCGAUAUCGAUUGGUCCUUGAAAUCGGACAAUUCAGGUUCGUACGAAGUUCGUUCUGAAAUGGAGUGGUUGGUUUAUCUUAUAGUUCUAGGGAUUGGAUUUCACUCAAAACCCACGAAAUGACUCCUCCCACAAUAUUAUGAUGUUCCCCAAGUUUUGGUCUCAAUCCGAUAUCAAUUGGUCAAUGCAAUCGGACAAUUCAAGUUUGUACGAAGUUCGUUCUAAAAUGGGGUGGUUGGUGUAUUGUAUAGUUCAAGAGAUUGGAUUUCACUCAAAACCCACCAAAUGACUCCACCCGCAAUAUUAUGAUGUUCCCCAAGUUUUGGACGCAAUCCGAUAUCUAUUGGUCCCUGUAAUCGGACAAUUGAAGUUCGUACGAAGUUCGUUCUGAAAUGGAGUGGCUGAAGUAUUGUAUAGUUCUAGAGAUUGGAUUUCACUCAAAAAUCACCAAACGACUCCUCCCACAAUAUUAUGUUGCUCCCCAAGUUUUGGACUCAAUCCGAUAUCGAUUGGUCCUUGAAAUCGAACAAUUCAGGUUCGUACGAAGUUCGUUCUGAAAUGGGGUGGUUGGUGUAUUGUAUAGUUCUAGAGACUGGAUUUCACUCAAAACCCACCAAAUGACUCCUCCCACAAUAUUAUGAUGUUCCCCAACUUUUGGACUCAAUCCGAUAUCAAUUGGUCCUUGUAAUCGGACAAUUCAGGUUCGUACGAAGUUCGUUC